UCCUCCCUCUGGCGGCGUGCUUAACACAUGCAAGUCGAACGGAAAGGCCCUGCUUUUGUGGGGUGCUCGAGUGGCGAACGGGUGAGUAACACGUGAGUAACCUGCCCUUGACUUUGGGAUAACUUCAGGAAACUGGGGCUAAUACCGGAUAGGAGCUCCUGCUGCAUGGUGGGGGUUGGAAAGUUUCGGCGGUUGGGGAUGGACUCGCGGCUUAUCAGCUUGUUGGUGGGGUAGUGGCUUACCAAGGCUUUGACGGGUAGCCGGCCUGAGGGGGUGACCGGCCACAUUGGGACUGAGAUACGGCCCAGACUCCUACGGGAGGCAGCAGUGGGGAAUAUUGCACAAUGGGCGGAAGCCUGAUGCAGCAACGCCGCGUGCGGGAUGACGGCCUUCGGGUUGUAAACCGCUUUCGCCUGUGACGAAGCGUGAGUGACGGUAAUGGGUAAAGAAGCACCGGCUAACUACGUG
RNAcentral lists this ribosomal RNA (468 nucleotides) under uncultured bacterium. RNAcentral's name for it is "partial 16S ribosomal RNA". It matches the Rfam family "Bacterial small subunit ribosomal RNA", at positions 36 to 507 of the family's 1533-position model. The record is from RNAcentral.